This 630-nucleotide non-coding RNA is filed under the name Pan troglodytes (chimpanzee). Lineage: Eukaryota; Metazoa; Chordata; Mammalia; Primates; Hominidae. The record is from RNAcentral.
GCUUCAGAAAGAAAAGAGCAAAAACAACAGACCUUCAUUCAGCUUAGGAACAUAAUAAAUAGGAUGAAGUUGAAUAAACGAAAUGGAGGGGAGUGAAGUAUUCCAGAUGGAAGAGGCAGUACGUGGCCAAGAGGAAACAGACCAUGUGCGCUGGAGAAAAAGGAUGGCCAGACUUGCAGAAACCUGGAAUUGGUGAUUGGCUUUAGAAGUGGAGAGACAAAAAAGGAGGCAUAGAAAGUGCCAACAUUUGGCUACACAGGGAAGAAAGACGUAAAAUAAUAAAAACAUUGGCAUCACCUGUAGACUCAAAUCCUGUGAGUGAAGGACCUGAGCAAUGAAGGAUGGAUUGAACUCGUGAUUAGCCUUCUUCAGCAUAUGUAAAAUGAUGUCUGCUUUUCUUCUCUAUUUGUCAUUUUACCGACUUUUUAUAUAGUUUCCCCAUAUCCAUGGAGGAUGUAUCCCAAGACCCCCAGAGGAUGCUUGAAACCACAGAUAAUAACAAACUCUUAUGUAUCCUAUGAUUUUUCCUGUACAUCCUUACCUAUCAUAAAGUGAGUGUAUAAAUUAGGCACAGGAGAUUAAAAACAAUAACUCAUAAUAAAAUAGAACAAUUAGUACAACCUAAUGAAA